UUUAGGACUCGUGCUCAAGAUGCUGCACGAAGCAGACACUUCAUAUGAUAAAGAUGGAUGAAAAUGCAGAAUAUAAAGAUUUUGAAGAGGCUAUAAGGGCUGUUAGGGAUAUUGAAAUUGAAACUAAUUCGCAGUUUGUAGUUGCUCGAAAAACCAAAACCUUUAACACUAAUUAUUUUCCUGACGACCUUCAGAAGCAAAGAAUUUGGUUUUCUGGAAACAAUAACGUGGUUGGACCCGUGAUAGAAAACAUCCCCUUCGUUGUCAUUGGUUCCUGCGAUUUAGCAUGCAUUCAUGGCAAACCAAGGAAGAAAGAGAAACAACAUCAAAAUGAAAAUCUUGAUCAUGAAUAUCAAAGGAAGAAGAAACAUUUUAAAAGAACGAAGAAACAAGGGUGCCCAUGUAAACUUGUUAUUCAAGAAGUAGUUAUAUUCAGAGGUUUUCAGGCACCCUUGUCAAGGAAAAUACGAACAAAUAUUUCGAACAACCAUAAAAGAUCCUAAAAAACCAAGAUCCACUGAGAGACUAUUUGUUCUUCACAAAAGGAAUGUUCAUGAAGACCAUCUCACUGGAAAAAUUGCUGGUGUUACUAGAAAUCUCUCCAAAGAGAUUUCUAAUAAAAUUCACGAAUUGGCGGAGGAGGGCGUCGUGAAAGUUGG
Long non-coding RNA from Magallana angulata, 659 nucleotides. RefSeq lists it as uncharacterized. The transcript is spliced from 5 exons. The record is from RefSeq and is a predicted model, not a curated record. Lineage: Eukaryota; Metazoa; Mollusca; Bivalvia; Ostreida; Ostreidae.